GUGUGACUGCGUACCUUUUGUAUAAUGGGUCAGCGACUUAUAUUCUGUAGCAAGGUUAACCGAAUAGGGGAGCCGAAGGGAAACCGAGUCUUAACUGGGCGUUAAGUUGCAGGGUAUAGACCCGAAACCCGGUGAUCUAGCCAUGGGCAGGUUGAAGGUUGGGUAACACUAACUGGAGGACCGAACCGACUAAUGUUGAAAAAUUAGCGGAUGACUUGUGGCUGGGGGUGAAAGGCCAAUCAAACCGGGAGAUAGCUGGUUCUCCCCGAAAGCUAUUUAGGUAGCGCCUCGUGAAUUCAUCUCCGGGGGUAGAGCACUGUUUCGGCAAGGGGGUCAUCCCGACUUACCAACCCGAUGCAAACUGCGAAUACCGGAGAAUGUUAUCACGGGAGACACACGGCGGGUGCUAACGUCCGUCGUGAAGAGGGAAACAACCCAGACCGCCAGCUAAGGUCCCAAAGUCAUGGUUAAGUGGGAAACGAUGUGGGAAGGCCCAGACAGCCAGGAUGUUGGCUUAGAAGCAGCCAUCAUUUAAAGAAAGCGUAAUAGCUCACUGGUCGAGUCGGCCUGCGCGGAAGAUGUAACGGGGCUAAACCAUGCACCGAAGCUGCGGCAGCGACGCUUAUGCGUUGUUGGGUAGGGGAGCGUUCUGUAAGCCUGCGAAGGUGUGCUGUGAGGCAUGCUGGAGGUAUCAGAAGUGCGAAUGCUGACAUAAGUAACGAUAAAGCGGGUGAAAAGCCCGCUCGCCGGAAGACCAAGGGUUCCUGUCCAACGUUAAUCGGGGCAGGGUGAGUCGACCCCUAAGGCGAGGCCGAAAGGCGUAGUCGAUGGGAAACAGGUUAAUAUUCCUGUACUUGGUGUUACUGCGAAGGGGGGACGGAGAAGGCUAUGUUGGCCGGGCGACGGUUGUCCCGGUUUAAGCGUGUAGGCUGGUUUUCCAGGCAAAUCCGGAAAAUCAAGGCUGAGGCGUGAUGACGAGGCACUACGGUGCUGAAGCAACAAAUGCCCUGCUUCCAGGAAAAGCCUCUAAGCAUCAGGUAACAUCAAAUCGUACCCCAAACCGACACAGGUGGUCAGGUAGAGAAUACCAAGGCGCUUGAGAGAACUCGGGUGAAGGAACUAGGCAAAAUGGUGCCGUAACUUCGGGAGAAGGCACGCUGAUAUGUAGGUGAAGUCCCUCGCGGAUGGAGCUGAAAUCAGUCGAAGAUACCAGCUGGCUGCAACUGUUUAUUAAAAACACAGCACUGUGCAAACACGAAAGUGGACGUAUACGGUGUGACGCCUGCCCGGUGCCGGAAGGUUAAUUGAUGGGGUUAGCGCAAGCGAAGCUCUUGAUCGAAGCCCCGGUAAACGGCGGCCGUAACUAUAACGGUCCUAAGGUAGCGAAAUUCCUUGUCGGGUAAGUUCCGACCUGCACGAAUGGCGUAAUGAUGGCCAGGCUGUCUCCACCCGAGACUCAGUGAAAUUGAACUCGCUGUGAAGAUGCAGUGUACCCGCGGCAAGACGGAAAGACCCCGUGAACCUUUACUAUAGCUUGACACUGAACAUUGAGCCUUGAUGUGUAGGAUAGGUGGGAGGCUUUGAAGUGUGGACGCCAGUCUGCAUGGAGCCGACCUUGAAAUACCACCCUUUAAUGUUUGAUGUUCUAACGUGGACCCGUAAUCCGGGUUGCGGACAGUGUCUGGUGGGUAGUUUGACUGGGGCGGUCUCCUCCUAAAGAGUAACGGAGGAGCACGAAGGUUGGCUAAUCCUGGUCGGACAUCAGGAGGUUAGUGCAAUGGCAUAAGCCAGCUUGACUGCGAGCGUGACGGCGCGAGCAGGUGCGAAAGCAGGUCAUAGUGAUCCGGUGGUUCUGAAUGGAAGGGCCAUCGCUCAACGGAUAAAAGGUACUCCGGGGAUAACAGGCUGAUACCGCCCAAGAGUUCAUAUCGACGGCGGUGUUUGGCACCUCGAUGUCGGCUCAUCACAUCCUGGGGCUGAAGUAGGUCCCAAGGGUAUGGCUGUUCGCCAUUUAAAGUGGUACGCGAGCUGGGUUUAGAACGUCGUGAGACAGUUCGGUCCCUAUCUGCCGUGGGCGCUGGAGAANNNNNNNNNNNNNNNNNNNNNNNNNNNNNNNNNNNNNNNNNUGAGGGGGGCUGCUCCUAGUACGAGAGGACCGGAGUGGACGCAUCACUGGUGUUCGGGUUGUCAUGCCAAUGGCACUGCCCGGUAGCUAAAUGCGGAAGAGAUAAGUGCUGAAAGCAUCUAAGCACGAAACUUGCCCCGAGAUGAGUUCUCCCUGACUCCUUGAGAGUCCUGAAGGAACGUUGAAGACGACGACGUUGAUAGGCCGGGUGUGUAAGCGCAGCGAUGCGUUGAGCUAACCGGUACUAAUGAACCGUGAGGCUUAACCUU
RNAcentral lists this ribosomal RNA (2394 nucleotides) under Escherichia coli. Its description in RNAcentral is "bacterial LSU rRNA". It matches the Rfam family "Bacterial large subunit ribosomal RNA", at positions 591 to 2925 of the family's 2925-position model. The record is from RNAcentral. Lineage: Bacteria; Pseudomonadati; Pseudomonadota; Gammaproteobacteria; Enterobacterales; Enterobacteriaceae.